GGACAAUUAACUCAAUGGCAGAGUAGCUGGUUUUUAACCAGAAGGCUAAAGGUUCAAGUCCUUUAUUGUCCACCA
RNAcentral lists this transfer RNA (75 nucleotides) under Bacillota bacterium. RNAcentral describes it as "tRNA-Lys". It matches the Rfam family "tRNA". From Rfam's summary of the family: Transfer RNA (tRNA) molecules are approximately 80 nucleotides in length. Their secondary structure includes four short double-helical elements and three loops (D, anti-codon, and T loops). Lineage: Bacteria; Bacillati; Bacillota. The record is from RNAcentral.